RNAcentral lists this unclassified non-coding RNA (231 nucleotides) under Hevea brasiliensis (rubber tree). Lineage: Eukaryota; Viridiplantae; Streptophyta; Magnoliopsida; Malpighiales; Euphorbiaceae. The record is from RNAcentral.
GGCAAGCUCCUAGCUGCAGAGAAGAACGAAGUCGUGGACUUCACCAGCCAUGUGGACUUCUCCACCUACCCCGCUCACUAUGUGAUCUUCUGGGAGCUGAGCUCUGAUGCAACUGACGAAGUUCUUAACAGCUGCUGUGACUGCUUGGACCGUGCCUUUGUGGAUGCUGGCUACGUUGGGUCGAGGAAGAGUAAAGCCAUCGGACCCCUUGAGCUCCGUGUGGUCCGGAAG